Molecule: long non-coding RNA, 456 nt
Organism: Pseudophryne corroboree (corroboree frog)
Lineage: Eukaryota; Metazoa; Chordata; Amphibia; Anura; Myobatrachidae
Exons: 3
Source: RefSeq, a predicted model, not a curated record
ACUCCAUCUGUCUGCUAAGCAGAGCAGUGAAUGACAGGAGCCUCCCAACUGCCGCCCCCCACCACCACCACCACCAUGGAACACUGCUGCCAAAAAACUGGUACUGUCCAGUUAAAAUCGGGACAGUUGGGAGAGAUUCAUACAGCAAGUUAAAUGGACCUAAACCGAUUUGCAUGAUGGAUGUCAAGAAUCAUGCAUGCACAUUAAUGUAUAAUAUAGUUUAUUUGUAAGGUGCAACCAAGUUCCGGAACACCUAACAUGGCGUACAAGGCAAAAAGCUGCGGUUUCCAGUAACCCUCACAAGAUUGGAUGGAUGAGGAGGACUCUGUUAAUACUGUUUCCAGCCCUGCAGCAUUUCAUUGUACUUCAAAAAACUUACUUGAUACAAGUCUGUUUUAACAGUGCCUAUUUGUUGUAAUUAUCAAAAGUGUAUGGAAAACGCAUUGAAAGAUACAA